Molecule: non-coding RNA, 73 nt
Organism: Podarcis lilfordi (Lilford's wall lizard)
Lineage: Eukaryota; Metazoa; Chordata; Lepidosauria; Squamata; Lacertidae
Source: the annotation of a GenBank genome assembly
GUCAUAGCUCAGUUGGCAGAGCAUGAGACGCUUCAUCUCAGGGUCAUGGGUUUGAGCCCCACAUUGUGCACCA